CCGGGCCGUUUAUAUCAAUCAUCAGCGUCGAAAACGAGCAACUAUUAAAGGGCCUGUCCGGCAACUUUCAAACCUGUCAAUUUUUGACAGCUUAGAGAAAAUUCCCAUACGAGAUUUGCUUCCGCUUACGUAUUUUGCCGGACAGGCCCUUUAAGUAGCGAUAAACUAAUCUGGUAUCGAGAGAACUGUCCAUCAAGAUUCCUUAGCUGUGACAAAUGUUCCAGAAGAACGGACUUUGAGUACCAAGUAGCACAUAUGAGGAAGUGAUGCAAUUUCGUCC
This 280-nucleotide small RNA is filed under the name Cryptococcus neoformans H99. Its description in RNAcentral is "Cryptococcus neoformans var. grubii H99 hypothetical RNA". Lineage: Eukaryota; Fungi; Basidiomycota; Tremellomycetes; Tremellales; Cryptococcaceae. The record is from RNAcentral.